CUCCACUCCUGGAAGAAGUCUCUCUCUUGCUUUUCGAAAAUCCAAAGUUGAACCUGUUGUUCCAGAUAUGCAAAUGAAAGGCUUUGUGGAUGACCAUGGUGUCUUAGAUCUUAAUGUGAAAAUGUCUUCAGAUCCACUGCCACAGACGAGCGCUAAAACUUCAGAUUUAGAGUGGUGGGAAACACAAGAGCGGGAAGAUCAGAUU
RNAcentral lists this unclassified non-coding RNA (205 nucleotides) under Hevea brasiliensis (rubber tree). Lineage: Eukaryota; Viridiplantae; Streptophyta; Magnoliopsida; Malpighiales; Euphorbiaceae. The record is from RNAcentral.